UGUCAGGCUGUUAUUUUGCUCAUCUUUCAUCUUUUUCCAUGUGAGUACCUUCGUCCUUUUAUGCAAGGCACUAUGCAAACCUAAAAUAACAAACAAACACAAAAAAUAAUUAGAACUAGUAACAUGUGGGUUGCCUCCCACGAAGCGCUUCGUUUAACGUCGCAUAGCUCGACGGUUCAUUCCCCUUGUUAUGGGGGGGUACUUCAGCCUCCAAACCUUGUUGCACCUCUUGUCCAAAACUAGGAAGUUGUCUCUUUCAUCAGUAUGGAUUCCUUUGUGCCACAAGUCAUCUUUAACCUCCAUCUCCUUACCUUGUUUUCAUUUUCUUUUCUUUCUCUUGGUUUUUGGAAUUAAGGUGGGAGUCUUUUCAUUCAGGGUGGUUAAUGGCAGUGAUGAGAGUCGAGAGGGCCUUCCUGCAUCUUUCUUUGAUGUUGGCAUGUUACUUUGCCUUCUCGCCUCUGUCUUGAUUAAACCUACUUGAUAGUGAGAUUCUGUAUCUUCCUUUAGAUUCUGGUCUUCAAUAGCAUUCAAUGUUAUCUCUUUGUCGUGAACUUUCAAGGUUAACUUGCCCUGAUCCAUGUCUAGAUUGUAUCGACUUGUCUGCAUGAAAGGUCGACCCAGAAUGAUGGGUGCCUCAUCAUCUUCGGGUAUGUCUAGGAUUACAAAAUCAACAGGAAAAAUCAAGUCCUCUAUUGUUACCAGUACAUCUUCUGUUAUACCAUAUGCAUCCUUUCUUG
RNAcentral lists this long non-coding RNA (737 nucleotides) under Lathyrus oleraceus (garden pea). RNAcentral describes it as "Pisum sativum (pea) long non-coding RNA (PSAT_LNC008224)". The record is from RNAcentral. Lineage: Eukaryota; Viridiplantae; Streptophyta; Magnoliopsida; Fabales; Fabaceae.